This 253-nucleotide ribosomal RNA is filed under the name uncultured bacterium. RNAcentral's name for it is "partial 16S ribosomal RNA". It matches the Rfam family "Bacterial small subunit ribosomal RNA", at positions 524 to 776 of the family's 1533-position model. The record is from RNAcentral.
UACGGAAGGGGCUAGCGAUGAUCGGGAUUACUGGGCGUAAAGAGCGCGUAGGCGGCUUACCAAGUUGGGGGUGAAAUCCCGGAGCUCAACUCCGGAACUGCCUUCAAAACUGGUAGGAUCGAGUCCGGAAGAGGGGCGUGGAAUUCCCAGGGUAGAGGUGAAAUUCGUAGAUAUUGGGAAGAACACCGGUGGCGAAGGCGGCGCCCUGGUACGGUUCUGACGCUGAGGCGCGAAAGCGUGGGGAGCAAACAGG